This 468-nucleotide ribosomal RNA is filed under the name uncultured bacterium. RNAcentral's name for it is "partial 16S ribosomal RNA". It matches the Rfam family "Bacterial small subunit ribosomal RNA", at positions 28 to 507 of the family's 1533-position model. The record is from RNAcentral.
GACGAACGCUGGCGGCGUGCUUAACACAUGCAAGUCGAACGGAAAGGCCCUGCUUUUGUGGGGUGCUCGAGUGGCGAACGGGUGAGUAACACGUGAGUAACCUGCCCUUGACUUUGGGAUAACUUCAGGAAACUGGGGCUAAUACCGGAUAGGAGCUCCUGCUGCAUGGGGGGGGUUGGAAAGUUUCGGCGGUUGGGGAUGGACUCGCGGCUUAUCAGCUUGUUGGUGGGGUAGUGGCUUACCAAGGCUUUGAAGGGUAGCCGGCCUGAGAGGGUGACCGGCCACAUUGGGACUGAGAUACGGCGCAGACUCCUACGGGCGGCAGCAGUCGGGAAUAUUGCACAAUGGGCGGAAGCCUGAUGCAGCAACGCCGCGUGCGUGAUGACGUCCUUCGGGUUGUAAACCGCUUUCGCCUUUGACGAAGCGUGAGUGACGGUAAUGGGUAAAGAAGCACCGGCUAACUACGUG